CUUUGUCUGCAUCUAAAAAGAUUGCUGCCAUUGGUUGAUCAGGUUUGUCAUUAAUGUAUUCAAUUAUAUUUGUGACAAUUCUAAUAUUACGUUUUAUUUGCCUUCCUGGGAGGAAGCCAGAUUGUUCUUCUUGAAUAUAUCCAAUUAGAAUUUUUUUAAGCCUUUGUGCUAAUAUUGUAGUAAAAAUUUUGUAAUCUACAUUGAGUAGAGAUAUGGGCCGAAAUUCAUUUACUUCUGGUAUUUCUGUUUUGGUCUUAGGUAUUAAUGAGAUCGUGGCCUGUUUCCAAGAAUCUGGUUUAUUUCUGCCAUCUUCAGCUGCCCGCGUAUCACAGCUUUAUGGGCGUCCCAUAAUGUUGCCUCUUCCUUCACCGAUCCUGUAUUUAGUUUCCAAUAUUCUAAUAAAUUUUUCUUGAUAUUCU
Sphaerodactylus townsendi is the source of this 419-nucleotide long non-coding RNA. RefSeq lists it as uncharacterized. The record is from RefSeq and is a predicted model, not a curated record. The transcript is spliced from 2 exons. Lineage: Eukaryota; Metazoa; Chordata; Lepidosauria; Squamata; Sphaerodactylidae.